This is a non-coding RNA of Brachypodium distachyon (stiff brome), 105 nucleotides long. The record is from Rfam. NCBI's taxonomy places the organism in Eukaryota, Viridiplantae, Streptophyta, Magnoliopsida, Poales, Poaceae.
GAUGGCAGUGACGACUUGGUAAUAUUCGAGCUCAACAGACCAAACCACAGGUCUAGCCUUUAGAGUUUGAUCUGUAUGCCGAUAAUCCCGCUGAACCGAGCCAUC